RNAcentral lists this ribosomal RNA (401 nucleotides) under uncultured prokaryote. Its description in RNAcentral is "bacterial SSU rRNA". It matches the Rfam family "Bacterial small subunit ribosomal RNA", at positions 355 to 774 of the family's 1533-position model. The record is from RNAcentral.
UGGGGAAUAUUGCACAAUGGGCGAAAGCCUGAUGCAGCAACGCCGCGUGAGCGAUGAAGGCCUUCGGGUCGUAAAGCUCUGUCCUCAAGGAAGAUAAUGACGGUACUUGAGGAGGAAGCCCCGGCUAACUACGUGCCAGCAGCCGCGGUAAUACGUAGGGGGAUAGCGUUAUCCGGAUUUACUGGGCGUACAGGGUGCGUAGGUGGUUGCUUAAGUAAGGAGGGAAAGGCUACGGCUCAACCGUAGUAAGCUCUUGAAACUGGGAAACUUGAGUGCAGGAGAGGAAAGUGGAAUUCCUAGUGUAGCGGUGAAAUGCGUAGAUAUUAGGAGGAACACCAGUAGCGAAGGCGGCUUUCUGGACUGUAACUGACACUGAGGCACGAAAGCGUGGGGAGCAAACA